RNAcentral lists this transfer RNA (54 nucleotides) under Staphylococcus aureus. Its description in RNAcentral is "tRNA-Lys". It matches the Rfam family "tRNA", at positions 8 to 59 of the family's 71-position model. From Rfam's summary of the family: Transfer RNA (tRNA) molecules are approximately 80 nucleotides in length. Their secondary structure includes four short double-helical elements and three loops (D, anti-codon, and T loops). Lineage: Bacteria; Bacillati; Bacillota; Bacilli; Caryophanales; Staphylococcaceae. The record is from RNAcentral.
UAGCUCAGCUGGUAGAGCAUCUGACUUUUAAUCAGAGGGUCAGAGGUUCGAAUC